AAUGGUCAACACAGCUGUGUCAUCAUCUGAAUCCACCAAAGUCAACCAAUUCAAGAGCUGGUUGAGCACUGAGUUCUCUAAAAUUGACAAUAUGUGUGAGAGUGGUCUUCAAGCAGAACCCAGAAAAUUUGCCUGGUUGUCCUCAUUCAAGCAUGCUCAGUGACUUACCUUGUUCCAAGUCAGCCGUGUCAAGAUUUGAACAAGAAUCAAGGAGGAUAAUGGGUCAGAUGUAAUUAAGAGCAAUGGUGUGUCCCAUGGUUGGCUCCCUGGGAGGAGAGUCCAUCCACUGGAGCUGCACUGAUUUGUGGGAUGUGGUUAAACAUCUGCUGGGACUGAGGCUGGGACCAUAAGUCACUUGUCUGCUCUUCUUUGAAUGCAGACCCAUGAGACAGGCUGUCUCUGACAGAAGAAUACAGUUCAUCAAAAGUGUCUGCAGGUUGUCAAACUCGUUCUUUUUAGAGCACUGUGCAAAGAGACAGAGAGAAAUUCACCACUCGACGUGUAAGCAUACCUGCCAUUAAUGCUGAGGGGAGUUAAGUGGCUGCUCCUGCAGAAGAAUAUACCCCAGUGUUCAAGACCAAAAGUUGUAGAGGUUGGAACCUGAUUUAUCCAGAAGCUGGGGAGGACCUUAACUGUCUCCAACAGUUUUGAAAGACAGCAAAAGCAGCACAGCUUUCCUUUAACAAAAGUGGUACAUUCAAGGAGAAGGUACAUGAAUCAGAGAGCUGGAAAAGCAGGUGGGUGUAGUGCUGCUGCUUUGGAGAGAGGAGUUUGCCUGAAGGACAAAGGAAAGUCCCACCUAGCGGUGUCCACAUUCCCAUCUGGCUGCAGAAAGCUGAUACGCAGACUUUAUGUCUUUAUGGUGGAGUAGAACUGCAACAAAAUGUCCAAAGGUUUCUAAGUCAAUGUCCAGUUGUUAUCCACGAUGAGAUGCCUACACAUCUUGGCAGGCAAUUGUUCAGUCUGAAGGAGCUUUAAAUUACUUCACAGCUUGAAAUCCCAGCUUUACCUCAUCCUCCUCUGAGAAGCCAAAGACAUGUGGCAUUGGAAGUCAGGUUUUUGAGAUUAUCUGCUCAGAACAUCUUCACCAAGAAGUCUGUUUUCACUGUUUCACACAACUUGGGAUUUGAUGUUCCCUGCGCAAGUGUAUGAAGAGAAUUGGUUUAGACUAGUUCAGUGAAAAGGAGCUGUUUAUCAAUGGACUCAGAUGCAUGGAGGUCUGAGAAUCAUAAGUGCAAAGCUUUACCCCUCCUGGACAAUGGUCUUUGAGACAAGGCAAAGAGGACACAGAAGAGGUUCCUACCACUGCACAACUAGGAGGUGAGCUCCCUGGACUCAACUGUAAAGGGGAAGAAAGAAUGAGGUUGCCAGACACGCUGAGUUAAUAGUGAGCUGAGAAAAGCAUGACCACCAGCUACCUUUCUGCUUUCCAAAACCUGGAGCAGUGAGAAAUCAAAACCUAGUUUGGGUCAGCCUACAGAGGGAAGAGAAGACACGUUUACUUUCUCUGCUGAAAUUCUCUGAAGUGAAUUCUGACUGAAAAGAAGUGGCGGUGCUAUAACAUUCAGAAACAUAAAUGAUGGUGUUAUAAACGUGUACCUCUGCAUUAGGUAAGAGCACUUUGGUCAGUUGAAUUAGUAGGAUAUUAGAUCCAGCUGAUCUUUUUUGUUCUGUAAAUUUAAAGUACCUCAGUGGCUACCUUAUAGCUAUAAUAUGGGCCUUAAAACAGCACCAAAUUAUGCUCUAAUCUGACUGUUUUAUUAUAGUGACUAGUGAACAGAAGCAACACAUUAAUGCAGCUUCUAUGAAAGUAUCUGUAAAGAGAACAUUUUUUACUUUAAAGGGUAAGUUCUACAUGAGUUUAUAAUUUUAAGUAUUUGUCAAAGGGUUUUUUUUUCCUUGUUAGAGAUGGUGACAUCUGAAUCAUAAUACUACAUGUUGAUAUUUGUGACAAAAGAUCACUCUACAGAUAUGUCAUCACAAAAAUCAAUUGUCAGUAUAUAUUUAAGAAUGUCAAAAUCAUCUUAACUGAAAAGUGCCGUGGUUUAUUAGACUGUGGAGUGUAAAGCCCUCUUUCAAAAUUCAUUCAGCAUUUCCAAUUGGAAGAAUUUUUAUGUAGUGAACUUAUUAUAUAUGCAUAUUCUAGUGGCCUCUAGAGACUUUUAAUUUAAAGCAUAAAUUACAUGUCAUUUCCAACUCUGAUGUCUUUGACUUCAGUCACAAAACUCACACCCAGGACUUUCUGCUACUGAUGGCUUGUGGUAAUACAUCAGUUCUCCCAACAGGAAUGUGCACAGGACAAAUUAGUGCACGUAAUUUUAGCCAUAUGAAGUCAUUACAAAUAUAGCCUUAGCUCUUCCUAAAGUGGACUUCAUUGUUAAUAUAAAUAUAUAUCUAUAAUUACUGACAUUUAUAUUAUUUGGCUCCUGUCCUAAGUUAUGGAUACAGCGAUGAUAAAAGGGCCUUGCAAGCCCUUACCUAAGCGAACCAUGCUUACUAAUUACUUUCCACGGUUCUGGGUUCCUGUAAAUAAAGUUACUCAUGUAUUUAUAAGCAAAGUCAAAAUCUAUACGCAUAUUUCUAAAAGUGAAUUAUCUUGCUCUUUGGGGCAACCAAUACAGUCUACUGCUUGGAAAGUACACUUGCGAGUAAAGCCAUCCAGGGUUCUUCCCUGCGUCUGCCAGGAUGCGUACUCUCCCAUAUCACUGGAUAUCUGAUUUAAAUACUUAAUCCAGUUGGGUUUUUAAAUUGUGUGAGGCCCUAAACCAGAAACUCCUAUGCAAAUAAAAGGAAGUGUUACUUGAAAGUAGCAAAUGGCUGUUGAUAUUUUGUCACUGUUUCCGAAGAGACUGGGGUCAGAGGGUUAGUUUUAAGAGUCUAAUUGUUUGUUCAAAAGGUGCAGCCUGCAAGACAUGAGGACUAACAAAGUGCAGCAUGGAAGAUCUCAAGACAAAUCAGCAGCCCCAACAUUUCUCUCUAAUGAGAAAAGGAAAAGACAGUCCCAUAGGCAUGCAGUAUUUAGGGAGAGAACCACGACUCCUUUCAUGAGUGGAGAGACUGAUGACUUCUGGACUACCUGCUAUCUCAGGGGCACGUCUAGUUUUAAGAGUGAUUUGGCUCACAGGCUGUAACAUUUUCCAGGCAUUCAGAUUGCAACUACUAAGCCAGCAAUUUUAUGCUUUCCUUUCCCUGACUCCAACAGUACCACGAUAUAAGCAGCCAGAUUUUCUUCUGCAUUGUGUUUUUUAUCCAUUCAGCCAAAAUUAACAGUCUUCGAGGAUAACAUAUGCCAAGUGAACUUAAAUCUUGCGGACUCAAAUCGACCUAAAGUUGAUGGAUACAUUCAUGCCUACUGCUGAAAUCUACCAAUUACACAGAACUAUGUUAACUUACCAUAGAAACAUCUCAUCUAAUAGCACAGAUGAUGUUGAACUAACUAAUUACAUUAUGGCACAUAGACAAUGAAAAACAUAACGAAGAUGACAGCACAGCAACAGCAGAUGCUGCACAAAAGAAAAAUCAGAAAAAUAUUGCUCUGCAAAAUGCUCUCAGUUACAGUUUCCUCUGUUAAAAUUAAUCACAAAAAUUAGUGAUUAGUGAUUUCAGAAAAAUCAUAAUCGUAUUUCGAAGAUGUCAUUAAGCUAUUUAAAACUCUGCUUCCUGAGAAGGUAGUUCCCAUUUUUUGUAUCACUAUCAGUUUUAAGACUAGUAAACAUUUUAGUGCCUAUGGCAGAGUUUCUUGGUAGAAUAUCUUUUCCAAUGAGGAGAGGUCCUGAUGGCUCUUCCAGAGACUGAAUUUGGUACAUUCCAGCCAUUACAGGCUUAGAUAAUUAGACAACUUAGAUUUUAUUUUAGCUUGGCAUUUGCUCUAUUCUUGUGCUCUUAGCUGUCAGAGAGCUAGAAUAACAGUGACUGCUGAUUAUCUGUAGCAUGCCUUGUUACUUGAUAUGUUUUAAAUUGUACCAGAUCCUAAAUAACAAAUCUAAAACUGCUGAGCAUGUUUAAAUGUAAUAUGUACACGGAGAUUACAUCCAGAUGAUAUAUUUCAUAGACCCUAUGUUAAAAAAAAUCAUUCUUUUUAACCACAACACCAGUCCUCUCCCCCCUUUCCUGGCGGAAGCCUUCCAUGAGCUUUAUGCACAGACUCCGAACAUAUCCCA
Long non-coding RNA from Pezoporus flaviventris, 4160 nucleotides. RefSeq lists it as uncharacterized. The transcript has 11 exons. NCBI's taxonomy places the organism in Eukaryota, Metazoa, Chordata, Aves, Psittaciformes, Psittacidae. The record is from RefSeq and is a predicted model, not a curated record.